This 505-nucleotide ribosomal RNA is filed under the name uncultured Cryptophyta. RNAcentral's name for it is "bacterial SSU rRNA". It matches the Rfam family "Eukaryotic small subunit ribosomal RNA", at positions 451 to 947 of the family's 1831-position model. The record is from RNAcentral. Lineage: Eukaryota; Cryptophyceae.
CUGACUCAGGGAGGUAGCGACAAGAAAUAACGAUAGCGGGCUCGUUCGAGUCCGUGCAUCGGAAUGAGGAUAAUUUACACCCCUUCUCGAGGAUCCAUUGGAGGGCAAGUCUGGUGCCAGCAGCCGCGGUAAUUCCAGCUCCAAUAGCGUAUACUAAAGUUGUUGCAGUUAAAAAGCUCGUAGUCGAAUGUAGGUUUAGUUACUAUGCGGUCUCUCAGGUGUCACUUGAGUGGACUGCGUGUAACAACCUUCCUUAAUAUAAUAAAAGUUAUGCUUGAAAUUCAAUUGUAACGAUUAUUAUAUUCAUUACUGUGAACAAAAUAGAGUGUUCAUGGCAGGCCAAUUUAGGCUUGGAUACCUCAGCAUGGAAUAAUAGAAUAGGACUUCUGGUUCUAUUUUGUUGGUUUUUGGAGUCCGAAGUAAUGAUUAAUAGGGAUAGUUGGGGGCACUCGUACUCCGUUGUCAGAGGUGAAAUUCUUGGAUUGACGGAAGACGAACAACUGCG